Molecule: long non-coding RNA, 279 nt
Filed under: Gossypium barbadense (sea-island cotton)
Lineage: Eukaryota; Viridiplantae; Streptophyta; Magnoliopsida; Malvales; Malvaceae
Description: long non-coding RNA (GBAR_LNC002716)
Source: RNAcentral
GAUACCCCGGAUAAUUAGAAAGAUGUACGCUCGAGUGUGUUAUUUUGUUUGGACUUCAGUCGAAUCCUCAUUGAGCCCACCGAAACUCUUCUUAACUAACCUGUUUCGAUCUAGCCUUCAAAAAUUAUCUUCGAAACCCUCCCAAAAAGUUCAGCACAUACCCUUCUCCAAUAGGCUGCGUGAACUAAUUCAGUCACUACCAGCCUAUUCAUCAGUAACUCGAGUUGUAAUUGCACGUCCUUCAGAGUGAUAAUGCACUCGUUGCAUGGAAGAUAGAAU